This 216-nucleotide unclassified non-coding RNA is filed under the name soil metagenome. RNAcentral describes it as "partial contains 5.8S ribosomal RNA, internal transcribed spacer 2, and large subunit ribosomal RNA". The record is from RNAcentral.
AACCAUAGAAACCUGCGGAGUACCUGCGGAAGGAUCAUUACAGAGUGUGACCCCCUGUAAAAAGGGGGGUACCUCCCGUCCUUUGCAGGCCCUUUAGGGUCUUUUACACUUUGCUUCGGUGGGGUAACCCACCGGAGCACUCUCAAAAAUUCUGAUUUUAAAAUUGUUCAGUCUGAGAAUUUUGAAAAUAAAAAAAAAACUUUUAACAAUGGAUCU